UACGGAGGGUGCGAGCGUUGUCCGGAAUCACUGGGCGUAAAGGGCGCGUAGGUGGCCUGUGGAAGUCUGCGGUGGAAGCCCGGCGCUCAACGCCGGGUCGGCCGUGGAUACUCUCGGGCUUGAGCUUACUAGAGGCAGAUGGAAUUCCGGGUGUAGCGGUGGAAUGCGUAGAGAUCCGGAAGAACACCGGUGGCGAAGGCGGUCUGCUGGGGUAAUGCUGACACUGAGGCGCGACAGCGUGGGGAGCAAACAGG
Molecule: ribosomal RNA, 254 nt
Filed under: uncultured bacterium
Lineage: Bacteria
Description: partial 16S ribosomal RNA
Rfam family: Bacterial small subunit ribosomal RNA
Source: RNAcentral